ACACGGUCCAGACACCUACGGGUGGCAGCAGUCGAGAAUCAUUCGCAAUGGGGGAAACCCUGACGAUGCGACGCCGCGUGGAGGAUGAAGGCCUUAGGGUUGUAAACUCCUGUCAAGAGGGAAUAAGCAAGUGAAGGUACCUCUAGAGGAAGGGGCCGGCUAAUUCCGUGCCAGCAGCCGCGGUAACACGGAAGCCCCGAGCGUUGUUCGGAUUCAUUGGGCGUAAAGGGUGCGUAGGCGGCGCGGAAAGUCCGGCGUGAAAGGCAGGGGCUCAACCUCUGGACUGCGUUGGAUACUUCCGUGCUUGAGGACUGGAGGGGAGACUGGAAUUCACGGUGUAGCAGUGAAAUGCGUAGAUAUCGUGAGGAAGACCGGUGGCGAAGGCGAGUCUCUGGACAGAUCCUGACGCUGAGGCACGAAGGCUGGGGGAGCGAACAGGAUUAGAUACCCUGGUAGUCCCAGCAGUAAACGAUGUGAGCUUGAUGUGGGGGGAUUCGACCCCUUCCGUGUCGAAGCUAACGCGAUAAGCUCACCGCCUGAGGAGUACGGCCGCAAGGCUAAAACUCAAAGAAAUUGACGGGGACCCGCACAAGCGGUGGAGUAUGUGGCUUAAUUCGAUGCAACGCGAAGAACCUUACCUGGCCUUGACAUGCAUUGUGUCGUCGGUGAAAGCCGGCUAGUCCUGGAAACAGGACGCUUUGCACAGGUGCUGCAUGGCUGUCGUCAGUUCGUGUCGUGAGAUGUUGGGUUAAGUCCCGCAACGAGCGCAACCCUUGUGGUCAGUUACUAACCGGCUUAGCCGGAGGACUCUGGCCAGACUGCCCUGUCAAACGGGGAGGAAGGUGGGGACGACGUCAAGUCAGUAUGGCCCUUAUGGCCAGGGCUGCACACGUACUACAAUGCCCGGUACAAUGUGAACCGAAACCGCGAGGUGGAGGAAAUCGCUCUUGAAAACCGGGCCCAGUUCGGAUUGGAGUCUGCAACUCGACUCCAUGAAGUCGGAAUCGCUAGUAAUGGCGUAUCAGCAACGACGCCGUGAAUACGUUCCCGGGUCUUGUACACACCGCCCGUCACAUCAUGGAAGUCUCCUUACCCGAAGCACGUGCGCCAACAUUUCAGGAGGCAGCGUUCGAAGGUAUGGGAGUAACUGGGA
RNAcentral lists this ribosomal RNA (1153 nucleotides) under uncultured organism. RNAcentral's name for it is "bacterial SSU rRNA". It matches the Rfam family "Bacterial small subunit ribosomal RNA", at positions 324 to 1480 of the family's 1533-position model. The record is from RNAcentral.